GAGAAGCCCUGUCUGUCUCUGCUGGAUACGAUGCAGGACCUGUGCUCUGCGUAAUGCACUGCAGUGAAGCCAGAAAGCGACUGGAAUCUGGGUGUAGUGUACAAGGGAAAUGAAAUAUGAAACCGCAGCCGUUCCCUGCAGGGAGUGAGAGCUUACUGCAUAGAGCGCAUUAUGAAACUGAACACGUGCAGGGCUCUACUGACACACGCCACACAAACAAAUGACACGGGCACCAGAUCGCUCCCAACGCUCAGAGCUCAGGGCUAAUUCAGUGCAGGAGGGAGCUCAAUAACUGUUCUGGUUUCUUUGUUGCCCAUCAUCAGCUGACCAGGCUGGAUCUCUGCUCAGAGCCACAGGAUGUGUGGAGGAGGAAUUCUCUCCAGGGCUCCAAAGGGGCUGGGGCAGUUCACCGUAAUGCCAACCCCAGCACCCCUGAGAGGCGACAUAUGCCUGGUUACCCAACCCUGACAGAAAGUGUUAGUCACACUCAGGAGAGAUCAUGGAAAAGCGAAUGCAGAUACCGCUCGCCUGAGCCCAGAAAAGCAGAGAAUCGGCUUCAACUCAAAAUCUGGAUAGAAAAUCUGCGAAAAAGCACCUGGGAAAUGAAGAACUGAAGAACUGAAACCAGACAUGAGGUGUUAGAGUUUGAUUAAAUGUCAGGCUUACACGUAUACAGAUGGCACAGGGUAAUGUUUUCACAAGCGCCUAAGGAGCCUAACUCCCAUUUUACUGGGCACCCAAGUGCCUAAGUCACUUUUGAAAAUGGAACGUAGGCUCCUAAGUCACUUGGGUGCUUCUGAAAAUGUUAUCCCUAAUCAAGGAUGAAUAAUAUAGGCUUCAGUACAAAACCCCCUGAGGGAGGGUCCCCAGGGAGGUGAUGGGACGGGAUGACAAAAAGGACUAGCUGACAUGGACAGGCCUCUCAGUUGUUCUCCAGAGUUUCAGUUUUCAGUUAAAAAGCCUUUAGCCGAACUGGUUGCGAAGAAAACUGUGAACAUGUGACCUGAGUGUAACUGACGCAGAGACGACUUCUGCAUGAGUUUGCAGAGAGUGUGAACUGCCCCAUUCAUUUCACUGGGCACUAACUAUAUGCCAGUGAUGAUGUCAACAUUGUUAAUUAAUUCACUACUCCACAAAGCAAGGAAGGAAGGCAAGGAAGUAUCAUACAAGGAAGAGCAACACAAUCUACUCUGAGGUCUGGUCUACACUACAGAGUUAGGUUGACACAAGGUAGCUUACGUCAACCUAACUACGGAAGUUUCUGCACUUAUAUUUCACACCAGCCGACAAAACAGCCUCGCUAUGCCGACUUAAUAACUCCACUCCAUGAGCAGCAUAGAGUCAAGGUCAAUGUAGUUAGGUUGACGCAGUGUCAGUGUAAACACUGCAUUGGUUACCUCGACUAUUACCGGCUUUCAGGAGCCGUCCCACAGUGCCCCACACUGACAGUACAAUCAACACAAGCACUGCUGGUGAGGACGCAUACUGCUGACACAAGGAGCAAAGUGUAGUCAUGCACAAGCAAUGUAAUUACUGUGGCGGCUGUAUGCCAACAUAAGUUAGGUCGACUUAAUUUUGUAGCGUAGGCAUGGCCUAAGUAACUGCUCAUUUUGAGGAGGCCUCACAGAGAGGACAUAACUGGAUUCCUUAUCAUUGAAUCAUAGAAUAUUAAAGUUGGAAGAGACCUCAGGAGACAUCUAGUCCAACCCCCUGCUCAAAGCAGGACCAACACCAACUAAAUCAUCCCAAAGGAGAGGCUCAGCUUUCUAAAGUUUGGGGAAUGCUGGUGUGCAAUUUGUUUUAGUACUAGGAUAUCUGUUGUGUUCCCUGAUUGUGGAGCCAUAUGUUUGUUUCCUGUGUGUAAGACAAAUAAAUUCAAUUAAAUAACCCA
Chrysemys picta bellii (western painted turtle) is the source of this 1891-nucleotide long non-coding RNA. The record is from Ensembl. NCBI's taxonomy places the organism in Eukaryota, Metazoa, Chordata, Testudines, Emydidae.